Non-coding RNA from Mycena leptocephala, 110 nucleotides. The record is from the annotation of a GenBank genome assembly. NCBI's taxonomy places the organism in Eukaryota, Fungi, Basidiomycota, Agaricomycetes, Agaricales, Mycenaceae.
GGUCCGAUGGUGUAGUUGGUUAUCACUUCUGUCUAACAUCUGAAUCACGUAUCAUCUGGUUACGUAAAUGUGAACACAGGCGGUCCUCAGUUCGAACCUGGGUCGGAUCA